Molecule: ribosomal RNA, 485 nt
Filed under: uncultured bacterium
Lineage: Bacteria
Description: partial 16S ribosomal RNA
Rfam family: Bacterial small subunit ribosomal RNA
Source: RNAcentral
AUUGAACGCUGGCGGCAUGCCUUACACAUGCAAGUCGAACGGCAGCACGGGUGCUUGCACCUGGUGGCGAGUGGCGAACGGGUGAGUAAUACAUCGGAACAUGUCCUGUAGUGGGGGAUAGCCCGGCGAAAGCCGGAUUAAUACCGCAUACGAUCCACGGAUGAAAGCGGGGGACCUUCGGGCCUCGCGCUAUAGGGUUGGCCGAUGGCUGAUUAGCUAGUUGGUGGGGUAAAGGCCUACCAAGGCGACGAUCAGUAGCUGGUCUGAGAGGACGACCAGCCACACUGGGACUGAGACACGGCCCAGACUCCUACGGGAGGCAGCAGUGGGGAAUUUUGGACAAUGGGCGAAAGCCUGAUCCAGCAAUGCCGCGUGUGUGAAGAAGGCCUUCGGGUUGUAAAGCACUUUUGUCCGGAAAGAAAUCCUUGACUCUAAUACAGUCGGGGGAGACGGUACCGGAAGAAUAAGCACCGGCUAACUACGUG